UCUCACCGUGUUAUCGCGGACUGUGCUUUUACCCCUAUAUUAUAUAUAUUAUUUAUUAUAACGCGAUUUUUCGAUAAUGCGGUGUGCUUCAUGAACACAACUACGGCGUUAUAGGAGAACGGGCCAUGUAUAAUCCACAGUCUUAUAUAUAUCUACCGCUGGGUGAAGGCUUAGUUAGACCGUGUCAAUCAUCGAGAUUGUCUGACCAUACUUCCCUUGCCGUUUGAUUAAUGAUUUGGGUGCGUGUGUGUCUUUGUGACUAACGUAGUGCGCUAACCACUGUGCCUCCGCUUCGCUCUCUGCCUUUCAUGCUAGGGUAUACGUCAUGCAUGCCGUUAAACCACAGGUCGUGUCCCACUGCAGAACGAGGAUCCAAUUUUGAAGGAGCGGCCAAGCCUCGACGCCUCCACUCAGCCGUGCCGUGUGUGACGGCCAGAUAUGCAGCCUGGACAGGCCACCGAGGAUGCCCCCUCGACUAGAAUACAAGUCACGGAGGAUCUUCUGUGCAAGUCACUGAGCUCAGUGCGGCUUACCUGGCCUGUGGUGUCGUGGGGAUGCAUUUGUAUGUUAAGCGAUGGUAAAGGUAUAGGGUAUUAAUCGCUAUUUAACUAUUUUCUUUAUUUUACCAGGUAAGGAACACUGAGCUAUAUUUUUUUUUUUGCCAGAAGCGACCUGGCAACGUGGAAGUUUAUAGCAGCCAAGUACUCUAGACGCAUGCUUGCGAAUGUGGAUAGAAAAACCAGAGGACCCGGACAAAACUCCACGCGACCAGGGGAAGAACAUGGAAGCUCCAAAUAUAGAGGGAUCAGGGUCGGGAUUGAACCCACGACCUCCUGCAUACCAGGCGAGGUAGUUAACAUCUCCUAGCCACCGUGGCACCAGUUAUUGUACGACCGAGAUCACCAACAAUGGCUGACAUGGGGUGUCAAGUGAUGUUUGAGCUCGUGCUUGGCCCUCCCCGUCUCUCUGAUGCUCACUAAUCCCCACGGACCAGAGUGGUGAAGUAUGGUCAAACAUACCCCAUGACCGACAUGGCAUGGGGAGGCCUUCAUCCAGCAGUGAAUUGAUGAAAUGCUCUAAAUGUUUUGGAUGAGUAACUUGCCAUCUUUCAAAAUGAAAGUAAAAUUUUUAAUGAGCACUAAAACUGAUGGCAUGUGCUGUGAGUAAUGCAUUGUUUUUACGACAGUGUCCAGAUUAAAACUGUGAUUGAAUGAA
Long non-coding RNA from Petromyzon marinus (sea lamprey), 1215 nucleotides. RefSeq lists it as uncharacterized. The record is from RefSeq and is a predicted model, not a curated record. NCBI's taxonomy places the organism in Eukaryota, Metazoa, Chordata, Hyperoartia, Petromyzontiformes, Petromyzontidae.